RNAcentral lists this ribosomal RNA (492 nucleotides) under uncultured Pseudomonadota bacterium. Its description in RNAcentral is "bacterial SSU rRNA". It matches the Rfam family "Bacterial small subunit ribosomal RNA", at positions 355 to 863 of the family's 1533-position model. Lineage: Bacteria; Pseudomonadati; Pseudomonadota. The record is from RNAcentral.
UGGGGAAUAUUGGACAAUGGGCGCAAGCCUGAUCCAGCCAUGCCGCGUGGGUGAUGAAGGCCCUAGGGUUGUAAAGCCCUUUCGGCGGGGAAGAUAAUGACGGUACCCGCAGAAGAAGCCCCGGCUAACUUCGUGCCAGCAGCCGCGGUAAUACGAAGGGGGCUAGCGUUGCUCGGAAUCACUGGGCGUAAAGCGCACGUAGGCGGACUCUUAAGUCGGUGGUGAAAUCCUGGGGCUCAACCCCAGAACUGCCUUCGAUACUGAGAGUCUUGGAGUCCGGGAGAGGUGAGUGGAACUGCGAGUGUAGAGGUGAAAUUCGUAGAUAUUCGCAAGAACACCAGUGGCGAAGGCGGCUCACUGGCCCGGUACUGACGCUGAGGUGCGAAAGCGUGGGGAGCGAAACAGGAUUAGAUACCCUGGUAGUCCACGCCGUAAACGAUGGAUGCUAGCCGUUGGCAGGCUUGCCUGUCAGUGGCGCAGCUAACGCAUUAA